AUUGAACGCUGGCGGCAGGCCUAACACAUGCAAGUCGAACGGUAACAGGAAGAUGGUUGUGUCUUUGCUGGCGAGAGGCGGACGGGAGAGUAAUGUAUGGGAAACUGCGUGAUGGAGGGGGAGAACUACUGGGAACGGUAGCCAAUACCGAAUAACGGCGGAAGACCAGAGAGGGGGACAUUCGGGCCUCUUGCCAUCGGCGGUGCCCAGGUGGGAAUAGCGAGGAGGUGGGGUAACGGCACACCAAGGCGACGAUCCGGACCUGGUCUGCGAGGAGGACCAGCCACACUGGGACUGAGCCACGGCCCAGACUCCUACGGGAGGCAGCAGUGGGGAAUUUUGGACAAAGGGCGAAAGCCUGAUCCAGCAAUGCCGCGUGUGUGAUGAAGGCCUUCGGGUUGUAAAGCACUUUGGGCGGGAACGAAAAGGACUGUGCCAAUACCUCGGUUCGAGGACGGUACCCGCAGAAUAAGCACCGGCUAACUACGUG
This 490-nucleotide ribosomal RNA is filed under the name uncultured bacterium. RNAcentral's name for it is "partial 16S ribosomal RNA". It matches the Rfam family "Bacterial small subunit ribosomal RNA", at positions 29 to 507 of the family's 1533-position model. The record is from RNAcentral.